RNAcentral lists this ribosomal RNA (782 nucleotides) under uncultured Neocallimastigales. RNAcentral's name for it is "partial large subunit ribosomal RNA". It matches the Rfam family "Eukaryotic large subunit ribosomal RNA", at positions 20 to 629 of the family's 3401-position model. Lineage: Eukaryota; Fungi; Neocallimastigomycota; Neocallimastigomycetes; Neocallimastigales. The record is from RNAcentral.
CAUCACUACGCUAGAUGCAUAUCAAUAAGCGGAGGAAAAGAAACUAACAAGGAUUCCCUUAGUAACGGCGAGUGAAGCGGGAAGAGCUCAAAUCUGAAAUCUUCAAGGUUCUACCUUGACGAAUUGUAGUUUAAAGAAGUGUUUUCUGUUAGUGGAGUUGGCUAAAAGUUCUUUGGAAUAGGACAUCAUAGAGGGUGAGAAUCCCGUAUUUGGUACCAUUCCUUCCUAGCUGUUGUGAUACACUUUCAACGGAGUCGGAUUGUUUGGGAAUGCAGUCCAAAAUGGGUGGUAAAGUUUCAUCUAAAGCUAAAUAUUGGCGAGAGACCGAUAGCGAACAAGUACCGUGAGGGAAAGAUGAGAAGAACUUUGAAAAGAGAGUUAAACAGUACGUGAAAUUGUCAAAAGGGAAGCGUUUGACACCAGUGUUGUUUUCUCGAAAAUCAAUUAAGAAGAGCCGGAUUUUGUGUUGUUAAGACUUUAUCAGCUUACUGCACUUUUUUCUUGUUCUUUUUAAUGCACUUUUCGUUUAACAAGUCAACAUCAAUUUCUUUUGUUGUAAAAGGGUAUGAGGAAGGUGGCUUUCUUUUCGGAGAAAGUGUUUAUAGCCUUGUACCUCUGCAAUCGGAGAGAUUGAGGUCUGCAGCGUAGAUCCUUCGGGGUUAGAUACAUUUGUGCUAAGUUAUAGCUUUUCAUAGACAACUUGUUGACUAUGUUAAGUCUUGUAGCUUACUCGCUUAUGCUAUUUUACCUACGCUUAGGAUGUUGAUAUGCAUGACUGAUAU